Molecule: small nucleolar RNA, 132 nt
Organism: Peromyscus maniculatus bairdii (prairie deer mouse)
Lineage: Eukaryota; Metazoa; Chordata; Mammalia; Rodentia; Cricetidae
Gene: SNORA70
Rfam family: Small nucleolar RNA SNORA70
About the family: snoRNA U70 seems to be exclusive to mammals and is a member of the H/ACA class of snoRNA which contain H (ANANNA) and ACA box motifs. H/ACA box snoRNAs are involved in the conversion of uridines to pseudouridines (5-ribosyluracil) a constituent of structural RNAs (transfer, ribosomal, small nuclear, and small nucleolar).
Source: Ensembl
CUGCAACCAACUAACCUGACCAGGUUUCUUUCCUGUUAGGGGCCUGAUGUGCAACGGGAAAAUAGUAGCCUUCGUGGGAGCACAUGCAGCCCAUUGUUUAUUUGGGUUUCCCAAGGGACCUUGGAAACCGUU